RNAcentral lists this ribosomal RNA (253 nucleotides) under uncultured bacterium. Its description in RNAcentral is "partial 16S ribosomal RNA". It matches the Rfam family "Bacterial small subunit ribosomal RNA", at positions 524 to 776 of the family's 1533-position model. The record is from RNAcentral.
UACGAAGGGGGCUAGCGUUGCUCGGAAUUACUUGGCGUAAAGCGCACGUAGGCGGCUCUUUAAGUCGGGGGUGAAAUCCUGGAGCUCAACUCCAGAACUGCCUUCGAUACUGUAGAGCUUGAGUUCGGGAGAGGUGAGUGGAACUGCGAGUGUAGAGGUGAAAUUCGUAGAUAUUCGCAAGAACACCAGUGGCGAAGGCGGCUCACUGGCCCGAUACUGACGCUGAGGAGCGAAAGCGUGGGGAGCGAACAGG